AAAAAGUGUAGGAGACAGGAGUAUUGACAGUGAGGACCCCUUGGAGCAUGUAAUUGACGGAACAUCUAGCGAGGAGGAAGAUGCUACUCAAAACCACUUGAGUUUGGUGAACAAAGAUGAGAACCAGCAAACUAUGGCUGACCUAUUUCAAGAAGUUUUUAAUCCAACAAACAUGGAUGGUGCCAUGAAAUCAAUGAGAUCAACAGGAGCUGGUAACUAUGGAAGAAUGCAACAGAUUAUGCAGAUGGAGAAAGAUUGGCAUGUGGAAUUCUUGAGACAGUAUAGCAGAGAGCACAAUUAUUCAGGUGG
Molecule: long non-coding RNA, 309 nt
Organism: Zea mays
Lineage: Eukaryota; Viridiplantae; Streptophyta; Magnoliopsida; Poales; Poaceae
Exons: 3
Source: RefSeq, a predicted model, not a curated record